This 406-nucleotide ribosomal RNA is filed under the name uncultured bacterium. RNAcentral describes it as "partial 16S ribosomal RNA". It matches the Rfam family "Bacterial small subunit ribosomal RNA", at positions 30 to 526 of the family's 1533-position model. The record is from RNAcentral.
AUUGAACGCUGGCGGCAUGCCUAAUACAUGCAAGUCGAGCGAGCGGCGGACGGGUGAGUACUGUCUGGGAAACUGCCUGAUGGAGGGGGAUAACUACUGGAAACGGUAGCUAAUACCGCAUACCAUCAGAUGUGCCCAGAUGGGAUUAGCUAGUAGGUGGGGUAACGGCUCACCUAGGCGACGAUCCCUAGCUGGUCUGAGAGGAUGACCAGCCACACUGGAACGGAGACACGGUCCAGACUCCGACGGGAGGCAGCAGUGGGGAAUAUUGCACAAUGGACGAAAGCCUGAUGCAGCCAUGCCGCGUGUGUGAAGAAGGUCUUCGGGUUGUAAAGCACUUUCAGCGGGGAAGCGUUACCCGAAGAGGAAGCACCGGCUAACUCCGUGCCAGCCGCCGCGGUAAUAC